GUGCUGGAAACAAACUUCCUGCUGAGGAGACACAGGUCUCAGAAAGAGAAGGUCACUUCUACAUCACCCUCCAAACUACUGUGACCAAGACCGAAACCAACCGCUUCCACUGUGUAGUCCAGCAGGACGACAUCGGUCAUAUAAUCAGUAGUAACAUCACUUUGCCAGAGAAACUGUUUGAGGACACAUACAGCAAAGGAGUUGUCGUAGGAUUGUUUUUUGGUGGAUUCUCUUUAGGAGCUCUACCUCUGGCAGUUCUAGUUUUGCUUGUAGCUACAAAGAUCAUCACAGUACGCUGUAAUAAAGGAGCAGCUAAUGAGAAACAGAAAAACAGGAAGAAAAACAAAAGAGGGGAGGAAUCAAACCUGCAGGCUCCAUCAGGU
Long non-coding RNA from Micropterus dolomieu (smallmouth bass), 383 nucleotides. RefSeq lists it as uncharacterized. NCBI's taxonomy places the organism in Eukaryota, Metazoa, Chordata, Actinopteri, Centrarchiformes, Centrarchidae. The record is from RefSeq and is a predicted model, not a curated record. The transcript has 3 exons.